This 1235-nucleotide ribosomal RNA is filed under the name metagenome. Its description in RNAcentral is "bacterial SSU rRNA". It matches the Rfam family "Bacterial small subunit ribosomal RNA", at positions 277 to 1520 of the family's 1533-position model. The record is from RNAcentral.
CGACGGGUAGCCGGCCUGAGAGGGCGACCGGCCACAUUGGGACUGAGAUACGGCCCAGACUCCUACGGGAGGCAGCAGUGGGGAAUAUUGCACAAUGGGCGCAAGCCUGAUGCAGCGACGCCGCGUGAGGGAUGGAGGCCUUCGGGUUGUAAACCUCUUUUAUCGGGGAGCAAGCGAGAGUGAGUUUACCCGUUGAAUAAGCACCGGCUAACUACGUGCCAGCAGCCGCGGUAAUACGUAGGGUGCAAGCGUUAUCCGGAAUUAUUGGGCGUAAAGGGCUCGUAGGCGGUUCGUCGCGUCCGGUGUGAAAGUCCAUCGCUUAACGGUGGAUCCGCGCCGGGUACGGGCGGGCUUGAGUGCGGUAGGGGAGACUGGAAUUCCCGGUGUAACGGUGGAAUGUGUAGAUAUCGGGAAGAACACCAAUGGCGAAGGCAGGUCUCUGGGCCGUUACUGACGCUGAGGAGCGAAAGCGUGGGGAGCGAACAGGAUUAGAUACCCUGGUAGUCCACGCCGUAAACGGUGGAUGCUGGAUGUGGGGCCCGUUCCACGGGUUCCGUGUCGGAGCUAACGCGUUAAGCAUCCCGCCUGGGGAGUACGGCCGCAAGGCUAAAACUCAAAGAAAUUGACGGGGGCCCGCACAAGCGGCGGAGCAUGCGGAUUAAUUCGAUGCAACGCGAAGAACCUUACCUGGGCUUGACAUGUUCCCGACGGUCGUAGAGAUACGGCUUCCCUUCGGGGCGGGUUCACAGGUGGUGCAUGGUCGUCGUCAGCUCGUGUCGUGAGAUGUUGGGUUAAGUCCCGCAACGAGCGCAACCCUCGCCCCGUGUUGCCAGCGGAUUAUGCCGGGAACUCACGGGGGACCGCCGGGGUUAACUCGGAGGAAGGUGGGGAUGACGUCAGAUCAUCAUGCCCCUUACGUCCAGGGCUUCACGCAUGCUACAAUGGCCGGUGCAACGGGAUGCGACGCGGCGACGCGGAGCGGAUCCCUGAAAACCGGUCUCAGUUCGGAUCGCAGUCUGCAACUCGACUGCGUGAAGGCGGAGUCGCUAGUAAUCGCGAAUCAGCAACGUCGCGGUGAAUGCGUUCCCGGGCCUUGUACACACCGCCCGUCAAGUCAUGAAAGUGGGCAGCACCCGAAGCCGGUGGCCUAACCCCUUGUGGGAUGGAGCCGUCUAAGGUGAGGCUCGUGAUUGGGACUAAGUCGGAACAAGGUAGCCGUACCGGAGGUGCGGCUG